Molecule: long non-coding RNA, 895 nt
Organism: Anastrepha obliqua
Lineage: Eukaryota; Metazoa; Arthropoda; Insecta; Diptera; Tephritidae
Exons: 2
Source: RefSeq, a predicted model, not a curated record
UUAAGCAACGUAGGGUAAAAUAUGUAUUUUAUUGUGUCUAACCGCUGCUGCCUCUUAAAUUUCGUACUCUUGACUGAUUUUGCGCGCCUCUUUACUACACCUCAGCGUCUCACUCUUCACCGGCCACUCGCACAAUUUCAACAAGCAACUUUUUCGCUGGAGUAAAACUUACUAGCUAAUUUAGGUACUGUUACUUUUAGUUGCUGUUUUGUAUUGUUUCGUUUUAGUUAGUCUGCAGCUACUUGAAUUUCGUGUGAGCUUAUGAAUAAAGCAGCAGCAGUAGCAGUGGCAGCUCUAACAUACAACAACAACUAUUACAUACAAUAUGAACGUCAAAUUAACUAAUGAAAGAAAUAAUAUUUUUCGCCAUUUCUUUCACUUACUUCAUGUAGUGUCUGCCUGCCUAUCGCUUUGGAUUCACCCAUUUUGGAGUAACUAACGCUUUUUUACUGCUCACUCGUUGCUUUAGUUUGCGGUACUGAUAUUGUUGUUGUUUUUAUUUCUAUUUUUGUUUUUUGAGUUAUUAGACCUGCAUUCACAAUCGCAUGAUGAAGCAUAUUUCUGCGCCAGUUAACGGUUUCUGAACUUUUUUUUGGAUUUCUUUUAUAUUUUUCUUAUGGUUAUUGUAGAAUUUUCGUAAAAUCUCUUUAUUUAUUAGAAAACAAGUGAUCUUUAAAAGAAUUUAUUGAAUGAAAAAUGGACAAGUUACUUUAACUCUUAAACGUCUUUAACGGUGCAAUCGUUUUGAGCUGGUAAUGCAUUUUCGUGCAGCAUUUUGUGGGAUUCUGAAUUAUUUGUGACUGAGCAUUGAAGCUAAACUGUGAAGUCUUGUUAUGAGAAUCUGAUAGUAAAUAUACGUACAUAUGUAUGUGGGUAACAAGUUUACACUUUCAAA